This 73-nucleotide transfer RNA is filed under the name Stegodyphus mimosarum. It matches the Rfam family "tRNA". From Rfam's summary of the family: Transfer RNA (tRNA) molecules are approximately 80 nucleotides in length. Their secondary structure includes four short double-helical elements and three loops (D, anti-codon, and T loops). The record is from Rfam by way of RNAcentral. Lineage: Eukaryota; Metazoa; Arthropoda; Arachnida; Araneae; Eresidae.
GCCUCUGUGGUGUAAUUGGAAGCAUACUCAACACGUAAUCGAGAGGUCCAGGGUUCGAGUCCCGGUGAGGGCA